AAGACUAUACUUUCAGGGAUCAUUUCUAUAGUUUGUUACUAGAGAAGUUUCUCUGAUCGUGUAGAGCACCGAAAACCACGAGGAGGAGAUGGAGCAUUCUCUCCUGAGCGUGAAACAGACAUUUGGUGUUGCUUUUUUGCGAUCUUCAUUUGUCAUUGAUGAUCGUUCCUGCUUUCCUUUUAGGAAGCAGGAGGGAGAGUAUGCUGAGUGGUA
Carlito syrichta (Philippine tarsier) is the source of this 213-nucleotide small nucleolar RNA. The record is from Ensembl. NCBI's taxonomy places the organism in Eukaryota, Metazoa, Chordata, Mammalia, Primates, Tarsiidae.